UACGUAGGGUGCAAGCGUUGUCCGGAAUUAUUGGGCGUAAAGAGCUCGUAGGCGGUCUGUCGCGUCGGAUGUGAAAAUCCAGGGCUCAACCCUGGACCUGCAUUCGAUACGGGCAGACUAGAGUUCGGUAGGGGAGACUGGAAUUCCUGGUGUAGCGGUGAAAUGCGCAGAUAUCAGGAGGAACACCGGUGGCGAAGGCGGGUCUCUGGGCCGAAACUGACGCUGAGGAGCGAAAGCGUGGGGAGCAAACAG
RNAcentral lists this ribosomal RNA (252 nucleotides) under uncultured bacterium. RNAcentral's name for it is "partial 16S ribosomal RNA". It matches the Rfam family "Bacterial small subunit ribosomal RNA", at positions 524 to 775 of the family's 1533-position model. The record is from RNAcentral.